Molecule: ribosomal RNA, 474 nt
Filed under: uncultured bacterium
Lineage: Bacteria
Description: bacterial SSU rRNA
Rfam family: Bacterial small subunit ribosomal RNA
Source: RNAcentral
GAUGAACGCUAGCUACAGGCUUAACACAUGCAAGUCGAGGGGCAGCACUUCGGGUGGCGACCGGCGCACGGGUGAGUAACGCGUAUCCAACCUGCCGCUUACUUCGGGAUAGUCUUUCGAAAGAAAGGUUAAUACCGGAUGUUGCCAUGAAGAGUCCUCUCUUUAUGGCCAAAGAUUUAUCGGUAAGCGAUGGGGAUGCGUCUGAUUAGGUAGUAGGCGGGGUAACGGCCCACCUAGCCGACGAUCAGUAGGGGUUCUGAGAGGAAGGUCCCCCACAUUGGAACUGAGACACGGUCCAAACUCCUACGGGAGGCAGCAGUGAGGAAUAUUGGUCAAUGGGCGAGAGCCUGAACCAGCCAAGUAGCGUGCAGGAAGAAUGUCCUAUGGAUUGUAAACUGCUUUUAUACGGGAAUAAAAGUCUCCACGUGUGGAGUUUUGCAUGUACCGUAUGAAUAAGGAUCGGCUAACUCCGUG